GCUGCAGGGGUGAGUACCUGGCUGCAGCACCUAUCUCCCACCCCCCCAAUCCCAGGAGAGACUUUCCUUUCUGAAAGGAAAUAGGAAGAGUGAAGUCACACAGAUCCUUCAGAACUUGUUUGACAGCCCAUUUGCGCAGUUGAAGAUUUCUGAAAUUAAUGGAGGGAUAUCUUUGUGGGAAUGGCAUUUUCCAUGGUAUUAAACCAACUCCCCACCUCUUAGUCUUCAGGAUGCUUCCUCCUGAUUGUGGAAUGACUCCCAUCCAAAAUGUGGUCGCAGCCAUGAGAGGUUCUUAUUUAAUCUUGAUUGAUCUUUUCUGUUAUUUUGAGAGACGUAUCAAAAGAUGUUUUUAAAGGAACAAAUCUAAAAAAAGAAAUUGUGUAAUGUGUUCAGAGUUAAAUUUUAGUUUUCUUUAACCCGUAUUUAUUGUAGCUCCAAGAAAUAGGAUACGUCAUGAAGUUUGUGGAAGAAUACAGUUAAACAAUAAGUUUAUUUUGGUGCAAAAAAAAAUUUGAAAUCCAUCCAUACUCACAGUAUUAACAUUGAUAAUGUGUGUUCUCAGAGCUGUGAAAGAAAAAGCAGUAAAAGGUUCUUCCUGUAGCUUGAAAGACAGUUUGCCACAUAAAACUAGUUCUGGAUGAAAAAAAAAAAUCAGUAAAUUUCAGUUCUGCAGUAGUAGAUCAGAUGUGUCUGACACCUUCAGUUGCUACUUGGGAGUAGAAUUUUUUGUCUUAAAAUUCGAGGAUACUCUGUAGGCUUAGGACAGGGACUGGGAUGUUGCGGUUUAUUAACGCUUCACCUCAGCAUUUUGGAGUUGAAAGUUAAACUUGGGGGAGACUCAGUUCGAAUGUAGAAUCUUCUUUCCUCCAUGGUGAUCACAACUGUUGUGUGAAUGUUGAGAUGUGGCGUUGGGAGUAAACUACUGGGUGCAAAUCACAUGAAACUACUGCUGGGAGUGUAGGAUUUAAAAGCGUGAACUGAAGACAAUUAUUAUUUAUUUUGGAGUCCAUGGGAAAACUUAACUGCCUUGCAUUGUUACUUUGAUGUCCGUUGAAUAUUUGCAUGUUGUACAUGUGUAACAUCAAUUCCUGUAGGGUUUGUGAACAUAGCUAGUACUGUGAGAGCUAACUAGUACUGAGAGAGUUAACCCGAUGGUUACACUAAAACCCCACGAAUACUCCAGAAAGUGACCUGGAGGCUGUCCACCAGGACUAGCUGUUCCUGUUCCAGGCAGUGUUGGCUAGUGUUGGCUAGCAUAGGCCGAGCUUAACUCCCCUGCACAGUGCACCUUACUCUUUGUGUGAGGGUGCUGGAAAGUAGAUGGGAAAAGUAGACUGUCCAGGUUGCUUUAAAUUUCUGGUUGGUCAUAAUGGGUAAGUGGUCAUCUUUUUCCUGGUGAGUUAAGUUAGCAAGGGUUUUGAAAGGCGAGGUUAUUUCUGUUUGUUGUGAUAAUUGCAAGACCAGUGGACCGGGCCAGUCUGGGUAGUCUCAGCAAAAGGGUGGGAAUUACAUUUGUUAUUUUUUGUUGUUCAUGUUUUAAAAGACAGACUUCAGUUGGUGUCAAUUCUUUAGCAACAACAGAAUUGCUAUUGUGUUUUACUGGAAGAAAUUUGAUUAUCAUAUGCCCUGGGCUGCAGGCAACUUUGCAGCAGUAAUGAGCCCACAGUGCUUUUUCCAUCACAGUUCAGCUGGACCAGUGGGUGACGUGGCCAUCUCCUCGUCUCUGUUGGUUUUGCUUCAAGGGCAUAAUGUCAAGCAAGUGAAUCACUUUGUUGUUGGUGUUCUAUUGUGGGCAUUACGGAGUAUAGUUUGAAUGAUCAAUAUAGCUUUAUUUUAAUUGUUUUUAAUCUGUCAUAUUAAAAUACUGAUGAAAUAAUUGUGAAGGCAAGAAAGUAGAUGAAAAUGUACAUGUGUCUCUGUCCACAUUAGUUAGAGUUGAUGCCACAAACAGACUCUUCCCCCAAACAUAAUAUGGUUAUUUUUCUUUGGUGAAUUGAUACUUCCUGAGUCUCGUUUUAUUUUCCCCUCCAAGUUUGAGGAAAAGAAAAAAAACCCAAAGUUACUUUAUGGAUGUACAAAAUUGUAGUAAAUGAGUUAUUCUAUUAAAAAUAUUCUCAUUUGUGCAGGAUUAAAAUGAAUGUUUUCUGUAAAAUUGCAAAAUCCUAAAUCCUGUAUGAAGAACCCGUGGAGUUUUGUCAUAGCAGGUUAUUAGUUAACAAUAACAGUGAAGCGUGCUAGCAUUUGAGUACUUUGUUUCUGUUUGGCACUUUCCUUGCAUUAUCUGGUUUAGUCCUUCAAAAAUCCUGGAGUCUGCAGCUACUAUUUUAAUGUUGGAAGUUUGACAGUUUAUCGUGCAAAAGCAAGAGGUAGAGAACGUGGCUUGAUCCAUGCCAUGUACAGCACGUGCAUAGGGGCCUGUGUUGGGCACAGUGCUUAAGCCGGGACUUUGGAUGCUGGUAUCCCUUAUCCCUUAUGCAAAUGAGCGCCGGUUCCCAGGUGAGCGCCAGUUCAGGUUCCUGCUGCUUUGCUUCUCAUCCAGCUCCCCGCUGAGGAGCUGGGAAGACAGCGGAAGAUGGUACCAAGUACUUGGGUUCCUGCCACCCAUGUGGGAGACCCGGAUGGAGUUCCUGUCAUCUCCUGGCUGUUGCCUGCAUUUGGGGAGUGCACCAGUGCAUGGAAGAUCUCUGUUUCCCUGUCUCCCCCUCUCUCUGUGACUUUGCCUUGGAAACAAACAUUUGCAAAGGAUAUGCACGCACACAGCAAAUACCAGUAUCUGAGAGUGGUCCGCAGGCUUGAUUGAGUGCAUCAGGAAUGGCAGGGUUCAGGGUCUGCCGCUCUGCCCUGAGUGACGGGACGGGACUGCCUCGGGUUCCCCGCAUCGCUUCCUCACGCGGAAGAGGAAGGACAGGAUUUUUCUUUCCUGUCUCAUCAGCCAGGGAGGAAAACCUUUUCUUGAAGUUGCAUAGGAGAUAUCUUCUUAUAUGCCAUUAGAAGUGUAAAAUUCCUUUCCCUAAACCACUUACGGACAAAGGUAAUGGGAUUACCAUCAUUGGCUUAAGUCAGUCACUGUUCAUCGCCUGGGCUGGAACCACCGCUCCCUGUGCCUGGGCGCCCCGGCAGAACCGGGAGUCUUUGGCAAGGAAGAUGUGUCUGGAGGAUAAGCGGAGAAUAACACGGGUCCCUGCUCAUGGUGCUUCCAGUCUGAAGGAGAGGUCUUUAAGGAUAGUUUCCCAAGGGCACUGGGCAACUGCGGACUCUCUGUAAUGCUGUCCAAGCCGCAGAACACGCACGGUGUCCAGUGUGCAGGUGGGGUGUCGAAUGUUCCAGUGACAGAAUGCAGCGCUGUGGAGAAGGACCGAGGGGCGGUGUUGCUCCCGGCAAUGGGGAAGGCGCCAUCAGGCAGACUCCUGAGUCAUGCUGAAAGAAAAGAGUCGGGGCGAGACUUGGGCGAGUGCGUUUCAGGCAGGACCAAACCACCCUUGGGGAGACCCCAGCAUCAGUGUAAUUGCUCAAGCAUGUGCAGAAAUGAAGGCGCUGAGCUUGUCUGUGACUGCUGAACUGGGUGGCGGGUGCAGCGUAUUUGACCUCCUAGAACUAGGGUUGUCUUGCACCUCCCUCGGUCCUCUCCCCUGGGGCAGGAGGGGAUGUGGCUGUUGCUAAGGAGGACAGUGAUAGACAUGGCCCAGCUGUGGAUGUGUUGGUCUGCACAGGACAGCGCUGCACCUGCGUGAGCAUUUCUUCGGAGUAGCUCCGAGUGGGACGGGUGCGCUCGCAGCGACCUUCAUUUUUGCUUUUCAUGUCAUAAGGCCUUGGCGAAUUGUGGGGCGUUUUGUGCCUCAGAUUGGAAGCUCCUAGAGGACAAGGACCGAGGUGUGGUGUGUGCUUCCCGUGUGUGCCUUGUUGGCGCAGUGUGAUGGUGUGUUUGUGCAGUGAAUGAAGGAAGGCUGUAACCAGUUGUGUGUGCCUUGUUGGCACAGUGUGAUGGUGUGUUUGUGCGGUGAAUGAAGGAAGGCUGUAACCAGUUGUGUGUGCCUUGUUGGCGCAGUGUGAUGGUGUGUUUGUGCAGUGAAUGAAGGAAGGCUGUAACCAGUUGUGAAUACGUUGCAACCGUGCGUCAUCAGCUCAUUUCCUCCCCGCUAUUUCUAGUAUUUGGUACCAGGAUUAAUGUGUAAUUUCUAACUAUUUUUCUAUUAUGUAGGCACUUAGUAGUGUUUCUGUGGAUCUCAGGACUAUAAGAGAUUAUCUAUGUACAUACCUAGGUAGCAUGUAUAUUUUUAAAUAAACAUGUUAAAUUUAUUUGUACUUUUUUUUCAAAGGCUUAGAGACAGAUUUUCUAUCCUGAGUCACCCCUCAAAUUCCAGCAGUAGCCAGGGCUUAGCCAGGCCAAGUCCAGGAGCCCAAGUCCAGACUCAGUCUGGGUCUCCCAUGUGGGUGACAGGGGUGCAACCACUGGAGCCAUCACCUGCUACGUCCCAGGGCACACACGAGCAGGAAGCUGGAACCAGACACAGAACCAGGACACAAACUCAAGCGCUCUGAUGUGGGAUGUAGGCAUACCAAGUGAUACCUGCUGUACUGAAUGCCUGCCCUGUUGUUAAAAAACAGUCUCCCUUUGUGUGUUGAGUUUUGUAACAGAAAUGAAAUGACAUUUUGCAGUCUGUCUACGUUUCCCAGUAACUCAGUGAGGUGGGCAGCAGCUGCAUGGAUGAGGAGAUUUGCAGUUGGAGGUUGACUCACCUGGCCCGGCGAUGCAGGUGCUGUGUGGUGUGACUGAGCCAUAUUUAGGUUCUUUGGGUUCCAGCAUCAGUGUUCUUUUCAUGACCUGCAGCUGCCUUUUUUAUGAUACAAGAGUCAUAUAUAAGAAACCUCAAGUACGGAUUUGACUCAACAGAGAACUAUAGCUCAGAUGAUGGUUACAGGUUUCUGUCAAUACUUUGACUAAAUGAAAAAUACACAUGGCGUGGUAGGCACAAUUCUGAACAAUUCCUUAACCCAAGUAUCGUGUCAGGAGUAAAAUGUGAUUUUUUUUUUUUUUUUUUUUGGAAAUCUUAGGUUUUCUUGUUUAAGUGGGCCAAUGUGGGCUUUAGGGUAGUUCUGGGUUUUUCAUUUGUGCAGGCUUUGUGUAGUGUUUGGCGGUGCGCUCUUCUCUGUUGCUUUGCCAGUUAGCUUCAGUGUGAGAGCUGGGGUGGGGUAGAGAAACACGCAGGGUUUUUUCCUUCCAGGCCUCUCUCUAAUUAGGGAGGGAAGGUCUUUGACAUGAUGGAGUGGUCUCUUCCUUUCUGUUGUGGUAGAAUUCCCAUGGCCUUAGCCUUUGACCCCUUUUUGGGGGUAGUUCAGUGGCAGUCAGUGCGGUCAUGCUGUUUGGGAGAGUCCAUCCCUCCCCAGGGCUUUUCUCCUGUCCCAGCCCGACACUACGCCUACCCUAGCACCUGAAUGACUGGCCUGGUGUCCCGCCUGUGUGGAAUACUACAGUGUGUGGGCUUUGGUGUCUCUGCCUGCUUUUUUUGCUUAAUUCCUACAGCAGCUUCACAGAGUGCGUAUAAUCCCCAUUUUACGUAUGGAGAAACUGAGUCUCAGGUUGUAUAUUUUGUCCAAGAUCACUCAGUAAAUGGCGUAAUCCGGAUUCCAAUCUGAGUUUCUGCCUCCACUGCCCAUUUUAACCGUUUUGACUCAGUGUGCUUAAUUGUUCGACUAUGGGGGUGGGAGGCAGGGGCGUGGAUUUUCAUGGUGGGAGGGGCCUGCUUGGGCUGUUUUCUCAUAUCCACCGUUUUUAGUUGGGGUGGGAGGUCACAGAGAGUGAGAGAGAGGUUAGGGAGAGAGAAGAGGCAUUUUACAACUGCUCAGAGGUGGACAAGAUUGUAGGUACCCAACAAGCCCCACAAAUAGCUCCCCGUUCUUCAUCUUGUGACUGAGAUGUGACAAUUUGAAUGUACAUCCUUGGCAGGGAGGGAAAGGCCAAGUAGGAGCUCAGGCUGUAAUUUUAGAUCAAGCUGUUUUCCUAAACUUUGGAGUCAGAAAGAAAUAGAAGAGGAAGAUGUAACAUCAGCCAGACACGUUUCUCCUGUGACGAUGAGUCUGCCCUACUCCUGUCUUCCAGCCAGCAUGUGGCCCGUCGAUUUUUGUUUUGGAUGAAGCUGUCGGGCGAGUUCCCCUCCAUCCAAGGGCAGUCGUACCACCCUGUUGGGGCUGUUCCCUGGUUGUGUCUGCGUGCUGACCGUCAGAGAAGAUGGAAGCGUUUCUCUGUGGUGGCUUUCACGGCAUCGUAUGCCGGCUGUCACCUGUAACUGGAGGAGAGUCAGGCUACCCUCGUGUUCUGUCGGUGCGCUUUAGCAGUGGCUGCUCUGGGGUUUGCCUCAGCAUUUGGCCUGAACUAAGAGACUGAGGCUGGUAUUCCUUCCUCUAGAAGUACUGUGAUGGAAGUACUUCAGCGGGAUUUCCUUCCCGAAGGGUGUGCAUACACUGGGAGUAGUUUCCCAUGGGAGUUCAUCUGGCGUGGGGUGGGGUGGGGGGACUCACUAGUUGAUUCUGAUUUAGAAUUGAGAUUGAACCAAGUCGUCAUGUGAGUGAGGUGGACUUAAGAAUUCAGGGCCAGAAAGAUUGGGGGAGAGGCAGGUGUGUCCGGAAACACGAAGUCUGUCCCUGCCUUGCUAUAGGAUGAGUGCCUCGUGGAUGAGGGAACUCAGAACACACGUAUAGCAAGUGCCUGCAGAACCGCUUCUGUGUUUGUAUUGGUCAGGUGGCCUCAGGACGCCCCCGGUACGAGGAUAAUUGAGAGGAGUUUAAGGAAGCUAUGUGCAGGGUCAGGGUGGAGGGAGGCUCCAGCGUUAGCAGCACAGGAGACUGGAUCACCCCUGGGUCUGCAGGGGGAGGGAAAGAGCAGUUGCCAGGUUCUGUGGAGAGCUGCACCAGCGGCUGGACGCUCAGCAGGGAGCAGCCUUCUUCCCUCUGCUCCGAUGGUGCCCAUCUCCUGCAGAGCCGUGCAGGAGCCACGGGGCAAGGGAACUGGACCAUCAGUUUCAGGCCAAGAGGGGCAGGCCGAGGACAUCGGAACAAUGUUCAGUUAUUUACUUUGAAAGUCAAAGUCACACAGAGAAAGGGAGAGACAGAGAGAUCUUCCAUCUGCUGGUUUACUGUCUAGAUGGCUGCAAUGGCCAGGACUGGGCCAGGCUGAAGCCAGGAGCCAGGAGCUUCUUCUGGGUCUCCCACAUGGGUGCAGGGCCCAAGCACUUGAGCCUUCUUCUGCUGCUUUCCCAGACAAAUUAGCAGGGAGUUAGAUUGGAAGUGGAGCAGCCAGGACUCGAACCACCGCCCAUGUGGGAUGCUGGUGUCACGGGCAGUGGCUUAACCUGCUAUGCCAGAACACCGGUCUCCAGUUUUCAAUUUUUUAAAAAAUUCUGAAGCAAGGCUUUUAGUUCUUAAUGUGGAAUAGCUUAAGAAAGUAGAGAUGCUUUAAAAAAAUGGGUUUUACCAAAAUAGCAUUUAAAAUCGGGUUUUGAAGUUUGUUUUGCUAUUUCAUGGUUGUAUGUGUUUCUUGAGAAUUUAUGGGAUGGCCGUCAUAUUCAUCCUGCUUUCCGUUCUCUCCCCAUUCCUCUGCUGCUGUCCAGAAUGUUCCCUGUUCCAUAUCAGCCACUGUGGAGCCCCUCAGUGACCCUGCACAGUUGGCCUGCCUGGAACUCACUCUCCAGAGGGUCUCCAGGUCAGCGCCCACCACCAUGGUUCACCAGCGCCAUUCUGGGAUGCAGCAGGAACCUUAAGAAGCCCGCGUGCACGUGGUGGGCUGCAGUGCAGUCGGUGACAAGCUGAGCAAGAACUACUCCCAGAGCAGCCGUGAGUGGCAGCCUGACUUGGCAGAGUAGCAGCACCGUUAGGCAGAAGGGUUACGUCACCUGAGGCGAGUUUUAGAAGGGUCAUUCUGGAAGUGAUUGGAGCGUCGGUCAAGGGGGGCAGGCCUCUUAGGAAGCUGUUGUGGUGACGGAAGCGACACCCUUGUCACUGCUGUGCUUCUACCCCAUGGCGGCUGGCGGCCUUGUGUCCACAUGGGGCAACAGCAGCCCCCGGUGGCCGCCAUGUCAAAAACUUGGAUGUUUACGAUGGCUGAACUUGGGGUGGUAGUUUCAGCCUCGGAGUUGGGGAGAACGUGGGAGGAAGAUUGUGCAGGGUAAGGAGGAAGCCAGUCAGAGCUGGAGAUGUGCUCCUUCCUGAGGCUGGGGGCCGUCUCUGCAGGAGGUGCCACGCUGGGAUGGAGUGGGGGCAGAGAAGUCACAUUUGUCAGCUUAAAGGGCAUGUGUUUCCGGCAUCAUGCCACAUCCCUUGUCUGUCCCGUCUCACUUUCUGUGCUGCGGGGAAGUAGGGAUUCUCAUCUUCGAUUUUGCUGGUGAGAGAACUUGAAUAAUAUGGUUUGGCCAAGUCAUAUAUCCAGAUCUGGAAUGUGAACUUGGGUUUAGCUUAUUCUUUAUCCUUUAAAAAAAAAAAACAAACCAUUUUAUUGGGGGCCAGCCCUGUGGCGCAGCAGGUUAAGCCACGGCCUGCAAUGGCAGCAUCCCAUAUGGGUGCCGGUUCAAGUCUGAGCUGCCCCACUACUGAUCUAGCUCCCUGUUGAUGGCCUGGGAAAGCAGUGAAACAUAGCCCAAGUCCUUGGGCCCCUGCACCCAUGUGGGAGACCUAGGUGGAGUUCUAGGCUCCUGGUUGCAGCCUGGUCUUGCCCCAGCUGUUGGCUGUUUGGCGAGUGAACCAGUGGAUGGAAGAUCUCUCUGUCUCUCUCUUUGUAACUCUGCAUUUGAAAUAAAUCUUUUUUUUUUUAAACCACUUCAUGGAACAUGAUAUUCAUAGGUAAAAGUGCACAUAUCCCCAGCAUCAGCUUGGUGCGUUGUCACAGGCUGAGCAGCCUUGGCAGCCAAGCAGCCGUGUCUGGGAAGCUGACGUUAAUGCUACCCCAGGCACUGCACCUCUGCUGCUGCCCCUGCCUGCCUUUUAAUGGCUUAGGUCAGUUCUACCUGCCUUCCCCUUUGAUUUGGCCCAUUUUUCUUUGCUUUUGCUUGAGGGUACUUUAAAAAGUUUGCAGAGAAAGGAAUGAGAAGUUUAUUUUGGUCGAGAAAAUUUUUGAAAUCUGUGUGUGCAGGGAGGAGGGGGUCUUCGAAAAGUUCAUGGAAGAUGCAUGUGGAAAAAAACUGAUAAUUUUUUUUGUGUGUGUGGAACCAAAUUUUUACCUCUAGUAUUUGGGGACCCCUUUGAAGCAGCCCUGUGUAUGCUUUGAAGCUGUGAGGUGGCAGGGGGAGGGUGCCGAGACCAGAGCCAGAGCCUGGGGACGUGGAGGGGGGGACCAAGGGAGAGGUGGGAUCGGAGCUGCAGGUUGAGGCCGAGGGGUCCGAGGGAGCAUGGAGAGGUGGGCUUCCAGGGCUCAGGAGAGCCUUGUUGAGGAUGGAGGUGGGAGUUACUGUGCCAGACAGGGUGGAAUCAGACUGGUACCCAGAGAGGCCGUCGGUGGCCUCGGGGAGAGUGGGUUCAGAGGAGUGCACCCAGGACCGUGGGUCAUGGCUGGAGCAGCAGGUCUAAGGUUGGGAUGAGCAGGUGCUCCCUCGGAGAGGAAGUGCGGAGAUGAGGUGGGACGACGCCUCGGAGAGGAUGGCCUCGGCUUUCCUUGGGGGGUUUGUGUGUGGCUGCUAGUGGGGAGACACUUGCUGGUUUAUCAGGUUGUGGGUAAGUUCCGACCACUGCUCUCUGUUAGUGUCUUUAAAGCAAGGCAGCACUGUGAGGUGCACAAGGAAAGGAGUCGGAAGGUGAAGUGAGUUCAGCUUUAGUCAGCACAUUCACAGUGACUGCAUGCGAAAUUGUUAGAGUAAUAUUUAGGAUGGGUUACGUUGCUAACUUCUGUCACCAUUUUUUCCUCAAAUUAUUUGAGAGGUAGAAAGAGACAGAAAAACACGGAGAUAGAGGUGAGAUCCUAUCCCCUGGUUCGCGCCCCAAAUGCCUGCAAUGGUCAGGGCUGGGCUGGGCCUGAAGCCAGGAGCUGGGAACACAGUGCAGGUCUCCCACUUGUGACUGACAGGGACCCCGAUAUGUGAACCAUCACUGCUGCCUCCCAAGGUCUGCACUGGCGGGAAGCAGGUGUCAGGAGCCAGAGCUGGGAUUGGAACCUAGGCACUCCACCGUGGGCUGUGUGUGUCUUAACUUCUGGGCUCCUCGUCAGCUGAUUGGAAAGAGCUUUUUUUGGAUCAUAGGAGAUUAAAAGUUUAAAGUGGUGAUUUUCAGGUGAUGCCUGGGCAAUGACUAGGGUACAAUUUUUUUUUAAGACUUAUUUAUUUAUUUGAAAGGAACAGUUAGGGUCAGGGGAAGAGACAGAGAGAAAGGUCUUCCGUCCACUGGUUCACUCCCCAGAUGGCCACAAUGGCUGGAGCUGGCCCCCUCUGAAGUCAGGAGCUUCUUCCGGGUCUCCCAUGUGGGUGCAGGGGCCAAGCACUUGGGUUAUGCAAUGCUGCUUUCCCAGGUGCAUUAGCAGGGAGCUGUAUUGGAAGUGGAGCACCUGGGACUUGAACUGGUACCUAUGUAGGAUUCCGGCACUCUAGUCGGCGGCUUGACUUGCUACACCACAGUUAAGAAAACCAAGUUACUGUUAACUUGUGGUGGCUACCAGUCAGUAGGCUGUUAACCCUUGAAGCAAAAGUGUGGUGCAGAAUCAGUGUUGGAAUCUCCCCUGGCUGGCAGACUCUGCUUUGCCUGUGGAAUGGGCUUUCUGCUUCUCAGGUCGGUGGAAGCCCUCUUGACAAGAGCAUGAGUUGAAUUUAUUGAUUAGUUUACAAGUGUUCUUUACAGUGCUUUGUUACUCAGUGUAGAAAAUUUAAAGACACAAAUAAAAGAGGAAAAUAAAAAUCACCGUAUUCUAUAUCCAUACAUGAAAUUUUUCGUAGUAUUUAAAAAGAAAGUCAUCAAAGCCAUUUAACCAGAAAGCACCUUCUUAGAAUGGGGUAGGGCAACAAAAGGCAGCUUUUGUGAGUCAUUUCUGAAGUUCUUGAUAAACACCUCCCUCAAAAACAAGUUAAGAAAGCGUGGUGAAAUUGACCCAGCAUUUAUUCAGUCAUCAAACACUUGUUCCGGGGGCUCAGCGUUGUGGUGUUGCUGGUAGAGCCACCACUUGUGACAUUGGCAUCCUGUAUGGGUGCUGAUUGCUAUCCCGGCCACUCCACUUCAGAUCCAGCUCUCUGCUAAUGGCUGAAGCUCCUGGCUCCUGGCUUUGGCCUGGCCUGUCCCUGGCCUUUGUGGCCAUCUGGGGAGUGAAUCAGUGGAUGGAAGACCUCUCUCACUGUCUCUAUCUCUCCCUUUCUCAAACUCUGACUUUCAAAUGAAUAAAUAAAUCUUUAAAAACAAAAACGAAUGCUUGUUGCAAGGCCUGCUUUGUGCCAGGUACCAUGUAAGGCUGUGGGCAAGGGGAGCCCUUUGGGAGGAGUGGGUGUCCGGGGCACUUGAUUUGGGGAGCACCUUGAGGUUGGGGGAGGCAGUGUGCAUGUGGCAGGUGCAGCGCCCUGGAGGGUGGCAGAGGUUGCGGGGCCCAGCGAGGCUUGUUCUUGAAAAUCAGGCUUAGGGCUGUGAAUUUGUGCUGGGGUCAGGGACUGCACUCUGAGGUAGUAAAGUGGGGACAGGGCUGGAUCAGAGUUGACUUUGUACCAGGCCGCAAACAGGAAACAAGUCGUCUGAGGUGGGAAAAAAAUGCCAAUUCUGCUUUACCCAGACGCAGUAAAGCACAGAUGGGAUAGUAAAUCCCUUCAUCAUUUGCAGCAGGGAAAACAACACACAUAUGUAAAUGAUAGGCAGUGCGGUUUAUUACUGACACUUUGUUUUUAUCUAAAAUUUUAUGGUAAAAUUUAUAAUAUUCUGCUCUGUCAAUAGAAAAAUUUAUAAAAUGUGUUUUGAAUGAGCAUUUAUGGAACAUGGAUUCAUUGUUAAGAAUGAUUUAAUUUAAAAGCAUAUAAAAUUUUGAAAUUUAAGGUGGAAGUUGGAAAAUGUCCUAUGUGAUAUAUCAUUAAUAACAUACUUGUCUUUUUCAUAAACCUCAAGACUGUUUUAUUAGAGCUUUGAAAUGCCACCGACAGGAUUAGGGCCACCAGUUUAUAUUCUGUCAUGUAGUUAUAAAGUAUACAGUAAAUUAAGUUUUAUCAAUAUGUAUUUGAUAUAGUUUGCAACAUCCAGCAUGAGAUGAAUUAGCUGAAAUUUACAACCAUUGCUGUCCUAAGCAAAAUUCUUAACCAUAUCCUUUUGAUCACUAAUUACUUACGCUGGUAUUCUUCCACAGUCAACAGUAAGGAGCACAUGCAGGUUAAUUUCGUUUUCCUCUUGGGAUCUUGGAUAAAGUGGCAUUUAUUUCAGCAGUGUUCCAGUAAGUGUGAUGAUCCUGAUAGGUUAUUGGUUGGAGAGGCAGUGGCGGUCCUGGCUUAGGAGUAUAGCACACUACCCUCACGUGUUUUCCUGGUAAACACUCCUUAAACAUACAGAAAUCUACUUAUAGGGCUCGCUAAGUCGAUUCUCCUUUGCUGGGUCAUCUGUGUGCUGGGGACUGGGAUUUGUUUGUGUCACGGACGCUCGUCUCCUCUCUCCUGCUCCUCUUGGCAAGGCUAGGAGCUGUGAGGUGUGUCACAGUGGUGUUGGUGGCACAGUGGCUGUCUGCCAUGCAGAGCGGACCUGAGAGGGGCAGACUGCAAGCUAAAACCAAGUGGAAAAGUGUCUUAGUUUGUCAGUCCUGUGAAGCAUUCAAGACUGUUUGGAGAUUCUCUAUGUUCUCUAUUUUCCUUACCAUAUUUUUCUUAGAUACUAUUAAUAUGGAAGUAAUACAACAAGUUAAAUGAAGGCCUUUCCAUCUAUAUGUUUAAUAAUUAUAAAAAGUGAAGAAACAGGUCCAGGAUGGUGUUACUUUCCUGUAUCUGCUGAUUAACUUAAGCACCUUAGCCCAAAUAAAAGGGUCUGAACUCUUGAUUCUAAUCAGAAAAUGUCAUCCAAAAAAAAAAAAAAAAUAUGCCCGUUUAAGGGAAUGAGUACUUGUUAUACACAUUCAUUUUUCUGACAUUUGAUUUUUUUUAGAUAAUUGCAAGGCUGACUCCCUCUGGCAGGGUGGAGAACCGUUUGGCUUUGGUCUUUGUAGGUACGAGGACAUUUAACCAGUUGGAAUAAAUGCUACUCAGUAUGCAGGGCCCUGUUCCGACAAAAAUAGCCACUGUGUCGGAGGCUGGUGGAGAGCUUUGAGUUUCCUAAAUUACGUGGCUCCAGGCACUGUAUGAGAAAGAAGUCUAAUUGUGGCAUUUGGUCAGAUUAAGGUGAAUUGUAUGGGAAAAAAAAUCAGUGAACUAUAUAGGCUUACAGAUUUCUUAGAUUUUAUAAAACAUGGUCCGUCAGCAGAGUUGUUGAAUCUAGAACAGUUCUUGGGCCUGUUUGAUUUUAAAGAAUCUGGUUGGUUCGUAUCAUGUGACACGUGGAGCCUGUUAGUGAGAAGUUUGAGUGCACAGUCGGUGAGUUUCUGCCGUGCGGCUGUUGAUGUCUCCGUGGGAGCCCACGCUGAGUCGGCUGCAACUAGCGACAUGAGUCUUGCUGUAAUUUGAGUGGCUGGAGCCUGCCUCUCCCCUCCCUGCACGCUGAUGGCUGCGUUGCUGGUACUCUUGUAUGGUUGACUUCGAGGUUGUGUUUUCGUUUUCGGUGGGAUCCUGUUGAGGAUUUCCGUUUUCUUCCCGGGGAUGACUGACAGGUUUCAUCUUGCUGACUGACACUACAAUGAACUUAAUGGGACCUUUUCCUGUUCCUGGGGAAUUCUGGGCAUAUCGAUUUUGCCCAACAAAGAAGUCUUCAAUACUUAACAUGUCUAUUAAAAUAGUGUAGACAUUUCGAUCUUUUAAAAUUACUUGAGUUGGAAGGUCUAAUAACUCUGAAAUACUUUCUAAGACCUCUCCUACCAAUAAUGAGAAAAUUAUUCGACUUUUUUUCAAGGUGGCGAUUGAAUGCUCCUUGAGGGUGCUGUUUUCUAAUUGUCUAAACUGACAAGGCACCACUUCCCCAGGGCUCAUUUCCAAAAUAGCUGAGCACAGGACAGGUGUCGUUUUGUUUUGUUUUGUUUUGUUUUUUAAUGUUUACUACGAAGAGCGUAGGAUUUUCUAUUUUAGUUAUCAGUGCAUCUGCACCGAACUAGAACUAUUUUCACCUGUAGUCAGAGUGUCUUCCAGAUCAAGCACUCAGGGCAAACAGGCCUGCAAAGCAUUGUACCCAGCACAAAAGCAGCCCUCAGGAGCUUGAUUUGCUCUUAUUUAUUUGCAUAUGUAAUUUAUUGUAUCUGUAAAAAGGGAAGUUCUUAUAAAAAGCAACAGAACAGGAAAAAACAAGCAAAUUGUUAUUUCUUCUGGUAGAUGAUGAUUUAGAGCUUAGUUUAAAAAUAUUAAGUUUGGGAGGUUCCAUUUAAUCUUAGACUUUUGUUGCAAAGUUGAACCUGUGAAAGCAAGAACAGUUUAUUUAAAACAUCAACAACAUUAAUUGUAGGAUGCUAAGGGUAAAUCCACACAGUGCACUGGUGUUUCUGUUUACCACACGUGUUGGUUUCCAGGCUGUAAGUCAUGAUUGCUCUGUUUCAUAAAGACCACGAAUUUUUCAUGUGUUUAUAUUGACGUAUUUAUCCAUAUUAUGGAUCAUGUGUUAUCACGUUAUUUUAAAAAGGGGGAACUAGAGUUUUCAUAUUUAGAAACUGAGAAAAAAGACAUUAAAAACUUGAAGAACCAGAUGGUUUAACAUAAUAUGCCAUUAAUUUUUGUGUAUUUUAAUUUCUGAAAUAAAUUUAUUUAGUAUUCUAAAUGAGUAUAUUUGCUGCCUUUCGUAUAGUGUGUUAAGGAUUUCUGUGAAGACUUGCUUGUUCACAUAGGUGGAUGGUAUUAGAGGAAACCUUGACAUCAAAAAAAGACCGUCUUGGAGGCCAGUUUUAAGAUCUUGAAGUUCAGUGCCUCAGUGCACUGCCGUGUUGAACCAGCAAAAGUGUUUGCUGUCCUGAUACGAUCAUUGGAAUGAGGAUAAAUUUGGGUUACUAUUAUAAUACAAUUCCAUUUAGAGUUUUUUCAUCUUCCCAAGUUAUGCACAACCCAUUAGAAGGAAAGGGAGCACAAUUUUGGGUGUUAUCCCUCUUAACAAAUCGACAGAUAAAUGGUUCAUUGUCCAUAAGAGAAAGGAAAAGGGUGUCUUCUGACUGGACGAUGAUCUUGUCUACAGACGUAUUGAAACCUGGGAAUUGAAGAAGCCAUGUUAAUCAAACUGUAUUUGAAUAAGGCAAUUGACUUUCGGUUUUUUAAGAUUCUUUACUGGAAUGGUUACAGGCACACUGGAAGUGGAUAAGCAUUUUUGCCUGAAGCUUAUUCAGGCAGCCAGGAAAUCUUUCCUCUUACUUGGCCUAAGCAGAGAUACUUUUCCAUAGGAUAUUGCCAAAAAUUCAUUUGGCUUGGCAGUCACAUGGUCUGUUUUGUGAUUGCUUUCUGAAGGCGGCAAUUCUACUUCAUGAACCCGUUCGUCGUCCUGCCUUAAGUCUGUGGCCAUCUACAAAACACAACGGGUUUACAUCUGAUCUCUCAGCACUGUUAAUGUCAUCGCCUGGCCCCAGGACGUCACUCUGCAUCUGACCACUCUGGUGGCGGGGGUGUCGCACUCUGUUCUGUAGCCGAGGAUUCCGAGGCAAAAGCAGUUAGCAAGUUGGAGCCACACAUUUCAGUGUUUGAAGAAUCCGUGUUUGAGCCCGUUGUUUGCACUGAACAUUUGUUGUUUUAGUGGGAGUAGAGUUUCAGGGUUGAAAGGUGAAAAAGUUCUGGAAAUCGGGUUCACAACUGUGUGACCACACAGAAACGGUUCAGGUGGUAAGUUCUGUGUUACUUGUGCACGGUGUGAUUUUCUUUGUGUGUAUUAUCAGAUGAGUCUACUGGCUCACGUCCAGGAGGUGAAGUGUUUAGGAUCUGGCUCAUCGCUCAUCUACUAGGCCUGCAUUUCACAGUCAGAGGAAGUCAAGUUCCUCCUGAGGUAUAGUCUAAGCUGUUUAAAAGCCUAGUUUUCUCUCCUUUCUAUCAGGAGAUGUAUUUCUUCUUAAAAUGCAGUCAGUGAUGGGCCCCCAUGAAGAAAGACAUGAGUUAGAGUUCCUGCACCAGAGAGGGCGUUUGGUGUGUCCCUGUGAGUGAGACGCCCACUCUUUGUGUUGAGAUAAAAUGGAAGCCUACAGAUAUUCAGAGUUACCAAUGUAUUUUCAACUAUGUAAAAUUUUUUUUUAAAGAUACAAUUAGGCAUAAUGGUUUUCCAGUGGUUAAAAUGAAGCAUUUGCUUUUAAAGUAGAGUAGAAAGUGUGUAUAUGCAAGAAUUAUGCAGUUUGGUUUGCCAAGAUAUUUGUGAUGCCUUUUUAAGAAACAGGAUAGACAUCUGUCAUCUCAGUUAAUUAAAAAACAAAUGACCACUGGUGGAAUCCGAUCUUUUUUCUCUGUCUUAAGUAUCUGUCAAGAUUUACUGGACAGCGCCGCGGCUCAACAGGCUAAUCCUCCACCUAGUGGUACCACACACCGGGUUCUAGUCCCGGUCAGGGCGCCAGAUUCUUUCCUGGUUGCCCCUCUUCCAGGCCAGCUCUCUGCUGUGGCCUGGGAGUGCAGUGGAGGAUGGCCCAAGUUCUUGGGCCCUGCACCUGCAUGGGAGACCAGGAGAAGCACCUGGCUCCUGCCUUCAGAUCAGUGUGAUGCACCGGCCACAGCGUGCUGGCCGCGGCGGCCAUUGGAGGGUGAACCAACGGCAAAAGGAAGACUUUUCUCUCUGUCUCUCUCUCUCACUGUCUACUCUGCCUGUCCAAAAAAAAAAAAAAAAAUUUACUUUUGAGCACCUGAAUUUUCUAAAAUUGUUACUCUUUGUUUUGUCAUUUAAAUUAAAAAGACAUUAAUAUUGGGUCAGUCCUUCAGAAUUGGAUAUUUUAAAUUACGAGGUUAGUCUAUUUAUUUUGACCUAUCUCUGUAGCUAUUUGGAUCUCAGUUCUCUCUGUAAGUAUGAAGUCAUAUAUGCAUAGCAGAUAAUUCUUGCCUACUUCCAUUUCAGUUUCUACAAGCCUACUCCAAUAGGAAACUGUGUUUGUCCACUUGCUGUAUGUGUAUCCAGUCCCUGUUACUUAUUUAUUUAUUUGAAAGAUGAAGGUAGGGAGGCUGGGGGGUGGGAAGAGAUCCAUCCAUUCAUCUGUCCAUCUCUCAUCUGCUGGUUCACUCCCCAAAUUCCCACAACAACAGAGUCGGGCCAGGCCAUAUCCAGGAGCCAGGAACUCAUUCCAAGUCUCCCAUGUGGCUGGCAGGGGCCAAAAAGUACGUAAGCCAUCACAGCUGCUCUCCAGGGUGCACAAUCAGCAGCAACAUGGAAUUGGGAGUGGAGCAGACUUGAACCCAGGUACGCUGAUGGGGGAUGUGGAUGCUACACCGAAUACCUGCUCCCUAGUCCAUCUUUUUAACUGUGUAGGAAAUACUCUAUUUUAUAUUGUUUAACUGCUUGGGAAUUCCUUCUUCUCUCUUUUUUUCCCUCUAUCUUUCCCUCCUUCCCCCACUCCUUUCUUUUGUUCCCAAAAUCCAGUCUAUUUGAAGAGACUCAUGCAACCUGAUUUUAUAAAAAAUGAGUUAAUUUUAAACUUUGAAAAUAUCAAGAAAUAUAAGUAUUAUUUACUUCUUUGACUCAUUCACCUUCUUCCCUGAUAUAAUUAGAUCAUGGCUGAUUAACAUCCUUUAUGUGAGCUAUCAUUUUUUGUGGUGAGACAUUUAAAAUUUACUCUUGUUAUUUUGAAAAAUGCAGUAGUCAUUGGUUUUUGAAAAUAAGUAAUUGAAAGAUAGAAAUUAUUUUCCAUCAAACACUAGUAGUUUUCCUUCCUUUUUUGCAGUUGGCUGUAGUGUUAAACAAGACCUCAGUUGCAGGAGGGAUUUAAUGAAAUGUGUUGAUGUUUUGUCAUGUCAUUCUUAUAGGUUUAUAAAUUGGCUUGGGCAUUUGUAAAAAUUAAUUCAUACUUGAGGACUUAACAUUUCAAUGUUUAGGAUAUCAGCCAAGCAACCCACAUCUACUCAGCAUGAAAGCGAUAAAGGAUAUAGUUUCUGGUUUAUAAUUUAGUUGGUGACACCCCCAGCCCUGUCAUCGCUGCUGGUCCACACUGCUAGUCUGUGUGAUGAGCACGUCAGGUGUUCGUGUCCAUUUUUUGUCAAGAGGGAGUUGAGACUCUGGGCAUUAAGUGGCUUGCACUGGGUCACCUGGCUGUGGAGUCAGAGUCAGGGGUAGGGCUAGGAUCUUUUGACUCCUAGACCCUUCUGGUCUCUGCCCCCAUGUUUCAAACUGUUCUUGAAGGAGCCUUCAUAAAGAGGGGACACAGGACUUGAGGGCCACAGACGCCAUCUUGGAGUGGCUUCAUCCUUCAUGUUUUUAGAUAAUGGGGUAUGAAAAAUACUUUUCUUCUUUAAAAAACUUGAGUAAAACUUAGAAAACUACUGCAUUGUAUGCUGUUGGUCUUUUCACUUUGGGAUGGAAGCUCUGGGUCCUCAAUGGUAACUCCACGAAAGAAUGAGAAAAAUAGUCUGUUUCUGAGAUACUCACUGCAAGUACAUUGUCUUGUCAUGUCCCUUUCGAGUCUGUCUGUAAGAAACACCAGCUCCUUACGGAGGGCUGCAGCAUCCCAAUGACUUGGCCUUUGCCCGGUUCUCCAAAAGCACCUCCUGGUCUUUCCCUCUUACUUGAGACCCUCCAUGGCCCACUUGAGUUCUGGCUGACGCUGCCUGCGUCCCUUCUCCAGCCCUCGCGCCAGCAUUUCGGUCGUCUUAGAGGCCUUCUCUGCACGUCCUUCAUGCAACAGGUGCUCCCUUGUCGCCAGCCAGCGCCUCGCUGGCUUCGCACACACCCUGGAACGCGGAGUGGAGUUACGUGAUGACUCUAGCCUCUGAUCUCCGUGUGGGUGGGGCCGUGUUUAUCUCCCUCGCUGUGGAAUCCUUGGUCUCUGCACAAAAUUGGCCCUACACCAGCGUUUUUUGGAUGAGUAAAUGUCGAACGAAUUGUGAGUUAUCGAGAGAUGCUUUCUGUAUAUUCACCGACCUCUGAGGGAAAUCUUAAAGUAUAUAGAUGGGGAUUUACACAGAAAUUGAUUGUAGUGAGGCUGGCAUUGUGGCAUAGCAGGUUAAGCUGCAGCUUGUGAUGCCAGCGUCCCAUGUGAGUGCUGGUUCAAAUCCUGGCUGUCUGGCUUCUGACCCAGCUCCCUGCGAAUGCACCUGGGAAAGCAGUGGAAAGUGGCUCAGGUGCUCAGGCCCCUGCACCCAUGUGGGAGACCUGGGACAAGAUCGUGGCUCCUGGCUUUCAUUGUGGCCAUUUGGGGUAUGAAUCAGUGGAUGCAAGAUAUCUUGCUCUCCCUCUGUAAAUCUGCCUUUCAAAUAACUAAAAAAGACUUUAAAAAUGACUUUAAUGUUUGCAUGCAUAACAAUUUUUGGAAUAAUUACAGUGGUAAUUUUUUUUUUUUUUUGACAGAGUGGACAGUGAGAGAGAGACAGAGAGAAAAGUCUUCCUUUUUGCCGUUGGUUCACACUCCAAUGGCCGCUGCGGCCGGCGCACUGCGCUGAUCCGAAGCCAGGAGCCAGGUGCUUCUCCUGGUCUCCCACAUGGGUGCAGGGCCCAAGGAGUUGGGCCAUCCUCCAAUGCCUUCCCGGGCCAUAGCAGAGAGCUGGACAGAAUCCGGCGCCCCGACCGGGACUAGAACCCCGGGUGCCGGUGCCGCAGGCGGAGGAUUAGCCUAGUGAGCCAUGGCACCGGCCUAUAGCGGUAAUUUAAAAGAGUCUUGUGCCGGAUCUUUGUGGGAUGCCUCAUGCCCAGCACAGCUUGGUGGGGUUAGUAGUGCGUCUUCACCGUAUCGGCGAUGUCCAGAGACCCUGGGCGAGUCAGGGGGAGUUGAGGGCCAGUCUGUCAGUGACUCAGCUCAGCACUCGUUCACUCCGCUUUGCCGCCUCCUGAGUGAAUGCCGAAGUUGUCUUGAAAGUUCCCUUCUGAUGAAUUCUUGCUUUCCCAGAGGCGCUGGAUGAACGAGGUGUUGCUGUAAUGAGGUGCUAAUUGAAUGGCACAGAGAGUAAGUGCAACAGAAAUUAAGAAGGAAGAGGUGUGUAGGGAAGGCACGGGAACUUUUGGAAGUAGCUGUGCGACUUCAGCUCGUUGGGGCAAUGCUUCUCAAGCGUCUGGACGCUGGACUUUGUUGGCAUUGGAGGUACACAUAAGGACAGAGCAGAAACAAGCGCGCUGCAUUUGGAAAGCACACGUUCAAGUGGUGUGUGUGUGCUGGGGGUUGCGUUGGAGAAAAGUUGGAUGUCCGUUUAAAAAGGGGUGAGGAAGACCGGAGGGUGCGUAAGCCACACAGAAUUUAAUUUUUCCUGUCGUCAUGAAGCACAGUGGCAUUGUGAAAGAGGAUGAUAUUUUAGGAGGUCCCAGUUCCUAGCAGUGGUGUUUGAUGCACUCACGUGUUGAUCUGUGGGAAUGGCAUUGUGCUAAAGUUCGUCCGUUUCUCUUUUCAUUUAGCACGUUAAAAAUGGCAUUUUGUGAUAGCAAACUUCAAACACAUACAACUAUGGAAAGAAUAGUUUAGCAAGCCCCAUGUGUGUCAUCUAGUGUCAGUUACCCACCCAUAGCCAGUCUUGGUUCUUUUUAACCAUGCUUUCCCCAGUAACCUGUCUCCACAACUCCGCCUAUACAGACCGUCUUAUUUUGAAGCAAAUUGGAGAAUUCCCCUUCCCACUGUUUCAGUGCACCCUACCCCUACCCCCACCCCCUGCCCACCAACCCUACCCGUCCGUUUUGAGCUCUGUGCCCGUUUUACACCUGGUAGCUACUGUGGAUAUUUCCGUUCAUAUCCCUUCCUGCAGCCACAAAUAACCCGGAUUGAUUUUGAUUUUCAUUCACGUCCUCCUAAGGCCUUUUGGGAGAAUUUGGCUUUCCAAAGUGGGAUCCCCGGAUAAUGAGGUAUGCACAUACUUGACCUCACUGAGUACUGCCAGCUUUAUUUCCAGAAUGUCUGUCUGGAUCGAGCGUCCCUUCCCCCGAAAUGCUGGGGGCCAGAAGUCCUUCGUGCUGUUACGGGUUUUGAAGCAUCUUCACACACAUAAUGGGAUAUCUUGGAGACAGGACCCAAGCCUGAGCCUGGCAUCCAUGUCUAUCUCCCAGACUCCUCACAUACAUAGCCUGAAGGUAAUUUUAUGCAGUGUUUUUAGUGCAGCUGCGUGUUUGCCUACACGGUGUCAGGUGUGGGAGUUUCCACUUGCGGCAUCACAUCUGUGUUCACAGAGUUUCAGCUUCUGGAGCAUUGUGGAUCCUGGGCUUUGGCUUAGGGACUGUUGGACCUGUACCACUUUACACUGACGAGCAGUGAGGAGAGUGCCCAUUCUGCCCCGUGUCCAGCAGCACUUGGUGUUGUCUCCCAUCGUAGUUUGGCCAGUCUGGGCGCUUCUGUCUUAGACAUUUGUUAUCUAUUAUCCUUAAAGCCUCCUGCUGUCCCUGAUUUUUUUUCUGCCGGGAAAACCCUUUCAUUGAUUCCCUCCGUUCAGCUGUCUGCCUGUGGAUCAUGUCCAUCCACUGACAGUACUCCAUGGCUUGCUUGUUUCAUGUGAUGUAUCACAGAAAACACAGUAAUUAUUUAUAUUGCAUGUUUGCUUAUUUUGCCUGCUCAAGUUCUGUGAAGUCAGGGACCUUCUCUGUGUUGUUUAUGCUGGUAUCUCUAGCGCUUAAAAAAAAAGUAAGUACUCAAGGCAGGUGUUUGGCCUGGCGGUUGAUAUGCCAUUUGGGAUGCCCGUUUGGCUCCUGAGUCUAGAUUCCUGCUGGUCCAAGCCUUGGAAGGCAGUGGCGAUGGCUCAGGUAGUUGGGUUCCUGCCAUCCAUGUGGGAGACCUGGUUGGUUCUUAGAGUUCCAGCUGCUGGCUUUGGCCCCUUAGCUAUUGUGGGCAUUUGAGGAAUGAGCCACUGGGUGGGAGCUUUCCCUCUAUUUGUUUCUGUCCGUCCAAUAAAUCGUAUGAAAUAGUAAGUGGGGGCCUCGGUAAACAUCGUUGAUGGAAUUGGCAGGAGGUGACUGUUCCCAUCCUUCCUCGGCUCUCCCUGCUCAGCAGGUGUUUCUGGACGUUCCGGACUUGAAUCCCCGCUCUCUGUAGACACUGGAAGAUCACCUGCUCAUUGUUUCCUGUAGGAUCUUCCUUCAGAUAGGAAGCGUAGAUUUCUGAGUGGUGCAGUCAUGACAUCACAGCAGAUGGGUCAACACACUGCGAUUCGUGUUUUUGUGGGCCGAAGCAGCCCUUUCCCGACCUGAUACCACAAAUUUCCCUGCAUUCUACUUUUCUGUAUGUUUUACAAUCAUCUAUUUUCUGUUUGGGCCCAUUGUCCCUCAGGAAUUUGCAUUUGGUGUGAGGUACAGUGUUAGAUUUUCUGUCUCUUCCAGUUUGCACCUUUGCUCAUGUUUUGGGGUACACUCUCACCGUGUGAGUUCUCUCGCAUAGUGUCUCGUAUCACAGUGCUUUUGUGGCAGUGGCUUUGCACUGUGUCCAACAGUUUGGUAGGCCAGUCAUCCCUCUUUUUAAAAAUUGACUUAGCAACAUUCACAGUAGCAAGAAUCACAGUCAAAUAACGAACCUGAAAGGAAUGCACGAGACCAUUAGAGAGGAAUUAAAAACUCUAUUAGAGGACAUAAAAGAAGACGUAAGUAAUAGGAGAUGAAUACCAUGGGAUGACUUAAUGUUAUAAAGAUGUCAGUUCUCCCAGAAGUAUUGCAAAAACUGAAUACAGUGAAAAAGUUUCAGGAUUGCUUUUUGCAUACCUCAGUCUACUUAUUCUAAAAUUUAUUUGGAAUUUAUUAAAAUGUGUCUGGAACUUCUUUUUUUAAAUUUAUUUAUUUGAAAAUCAAGUUACACAGAGAGAAGGAGAGGCAGAGAGAGAGAGAGAGAGAGAGAGAGAGAGAGAGGCCUUCCAUCCGCUGGUUCACUCCCCAGUUGGCCAUAUGGCCGGAGCUGCGCCAAUCUGAAGCCAGGAGCCAGGAGCCUCUUCUGGGUCUUCCACAUGGGUGCAGGGGUCCAAGGACUUGGGCCACCUUCUACCGCUUUCCUAGGCCAUAGCAGAGAGCUGGAUCAGAAGUGGAGCAGCCGGAACUGGAACCAGUGCCCAUAUAGGAUGUUGGCACUGCAGGUGGCGGCUUUACCCACUACACCACAGCGCUGGCCCCGUGUCUGGAACUUAGUAUAUGUCAACUUUUGAAAGAAAUGUAUACUUUCCUAAUUCUUUGUAUGCUGUAUUCUUAGUGGCUAGCUUUUCAGUUCUGAUAGGGAGUCGAUUGGCAGCCACAGAGAAGAAAGAAAGAGGAGAGCAGGAGAGAAAAGUGAUGGGAACUGUGGAGGUAGCAGCAAAUGGCCCUCUCAGAGAAAGAGCAGAGGCGAUGAGGGCGUGGUGGAUCAACACCUUGCUGCUUCCUUCUGAGUGUGGUGAGAACCAAGCACAGGCAGUUGCCCACAGCGUCUCUCACCGCUCGUGCUGUGCUGUGCGAGUGACCUAAAUCACGCCUAAUGCAGCGGUCUGUAUGGGCUGCUAACAGUUCACAGAGCAGGCAUCGCCGAGAUGCCACUCAGUGUCGGAUGCCCAUAAAUAAUGACGACCCCUGGGUAACCACAAAGACCUCCACGUGUGUCCUCGAUGCUAUGUGUAAAGUGGCAGGGAAAUAGAUAUUGGGGAUUUUCAGUAAAGGGCAGUUGAACUAAAGAAAUCAGCACUUUGGGUAGAAAACCCCACGCUAUCAGUUACCCAUUUGCUCAAUUUUCAGAAUCACACUUUUACCCUAUUUCCGGUUCACAUGUGAUUGUGUGUGCUUACAAGCUGAAAAUAGAAUAAAAUCACUCUGUUUUCUGGGGACUACCAGUAGAAGAAAACUGGAGUGUGAGAAAAUGACCGUCCUGAUACCAUACUGUCAGUAGUUGUCUGACUUGGAAGAGCUCUCUGGAAGUUAAGAAAGACAUGGGAAGUGUUUUUAGGCCCUGUGAUUCUUCAGCCUGACCUAGAAGUAUUGAGUUGAUUCACUCGGAAGCCUGGGGCUUGGCUUGACAGGUCCCCACACUGUAACCAACCCCCCAUGAGUAGUGCGCUUCCCAGUGCUCGUGGGAUCUGUUCAGACUUGACUGGCAGUUGACAGAUUUUAGGGUUCCUACUCUUCUGAUUGUUUUAUGAAAUCCCUGAAAAUGGCACAGUGGGGCCGUGAACCUGGAUGAUUGGUAACCGUGCUAGAGAAUGUGGAAUGAGACCGCCCUGUGACUGCUUUGCUCCUGUCCAAUUUUAUUUUUAAACCAGUAAACUACUAAUACUUUGCUUUGUGAUGAUUGCCUAUCAAGCAUGCCUGUGAUGAUAAAAUAGUAAAAAGAAGGCCCCAGACUGUUGAUGCCCUAUAUUUGUGUGUGUGCUUUAACCAGAUUGUUUCACUUCUGUGUGGAAUAAUCAGACACGCGUGUAUCACAUUUCAGCAGUGAAAUGAAUCUUAGCAGUUAAGAAAUCAGUAUAGAGAUCUUUUCCUGUGUCUAACUACUGAAUGAGGGCAAAAGGCAGGCUGUGGACUGGAAAAGCGCGCGGCUGGUGGAGGAGAGAGGAAAUCUCAGGAGCUUGGCCGCAGAGGAGGGAGCCGCCUGGAUGCUGGUCUCAUCAGUUGCAUGGCCUCUCUUCUGUAAGAUGAGAAAUACAUGUUUCAUGUGUACACAAUGGAAUGUUACUCAGCCGUAAAAAAGAAUACCAUCCUGACGUGUACAACAAGAUGGAUGUGACUGGAGAUUCUUGUGCUAGAUGAAACAGACCAGACCCUAAAAGAAAAAUAUCACCUUUUCUCUUAUUUGUGGUAGUAGAGAGAGGAUAAAAAUUGGAUGUCAGGUCAUUGUGUAUGUAGUUAUAAGUAUUGCUUCGCUGAAUCAUACCAUGUAAAUGACAAUACACUCUUUUUUUAAAAUUUUUUAUUUAUUUUUUUAUUUUUUUACAGAGUGGACAGUGAGAGAGAGGCAGAGAGAAAGGUCUUCUUUUUGCCGUUGGCUCACCCUCCAAUGGCCGCCACGGCUGGCACGCUGUGGCCAGCACACCACGCUGAUCCGAAGGCAGGAGCCAGGUGCUUCUCCUGGUCUCCCAUGGGGUGCAGGGCCCAAGCACUUGGGCCAUCCUCCACUGCACUCCCGGGCCACAGCAGAGAGCUGGCCUGGAAGAGGGGCAACCGGGACAGAAUCUGGCACCCUGACCGGGACUAGAACCCGGUGUGCCGGCGCUGCAAGGCGGAGGAUUAGCCUAGUGAGCCGUGGCUCCGGCCCGACAAUACACUCUUAGUUCACACUUCAAAAAAGAAGUGGAGCAGGGAUAAUAAUACUUGGUUCUUAAUUUGGUUGGUGGUCAUGAAUGUGAUCAGAUGCCAAACACUCAUUGAUCUGUACACCUCUGUGCAUUUCUUGGAGUGUGUAUUGUAAUUUAGUAAAAUGUUAGAGAGAAGAGCAGCACUGGUGAUGUCUGAGAUCCCGAGGCGUUCCUCUUGUUGGCGUGUUAGGCAGACAUGUAGACAGAGGCGCUGGUGUAGACUGAAAGGCCUCCGGGCACCGGGAGCUGCAGUGCCCUGAACGCUUGUGGCAGCAGCCGUGCCGCUUCUUCAGGAACUGUGAAAAGCCCUGUCCUAACUCUGAUGGGCUGUGAUACAGGUUUUGAAUGAGAAUGCGGGGGGUGGGGGGGUGCUUGCAGAAAGAGCGUUCACUGCCAGCCUGUGGCAGUGGUGGCCCAGGUGGGGGUGGGCUGGGCUUUCAGCAUCGGGAGACUGCAUCUGAGAGCGGUCGGUGGUGCCGGAGUUUAAAACAGAAGUGACAUCCGGGCGACCGCUGAACCCGGCAGCACAACCUGUGCUGCCUGAAUCAUGUUUUUAAUUUUCUGUGUUUUAGGAUGUUUUGACUUUUGGGGCCUUGCUGGCUAGGGACAGACUAGCCCUCCAGGGCUGGCGAAUUCCUAGGGAGCGAAGGACUCCCCUGUAGGUGUACCUUUCACAUACAGAGCAGCCAGGCCAGGGCCCCUGUACCCACCGCCGCCCUGAGUCACUGCCCUCCUGCCCUGGUUUACCCCAAGGCCAGGUUCCAGGCCAGGCAGUGCGGUCCUCCCUCCCAGAUCAUGCUGGAACGACUCAGACUCACCCGUCCUGAGCGGCUGGCCCUGCCCUUCCAUGCCUCUCCUGCAGGCCCGUGCCCAGCUGGCCCCCUUCUGCCUUCGCCCAGCCCUGGUGCUUUCCUGCGUGACCCCGCAUGGCCAGGCGUGAUGUGCUCCUGUCUCUUGAAAUUGCCUCAAAGGCAGUUAGUUGUCUUGUGUCUGUCGUCAUUGACAGUGAAAACAAAUCUUAGCUAGAUUUUGCUUUAUUAUUUUAGAAGCUUUCUUGGGGCUGGAGGUGGGGAGCAUCCACUGGUCCACUCUCCAGACACCCAUGUCAGGAGUCAGGAACUCAACCUAGGUUUCUCACGCGUGUGGCAGGAACCCAGGUACUUAGUCUGUCGCUGCUGCCUUCCAGGUUCUGCAUUGGCAGGAAACUGGAAAUAGGAGCCCAAGCCAGGCAUUGAACCCAGGUCCGUGCGUGUGGGAUGCAGGUGCCUUCACAGUAGGCGGAGUGCCCACUCCGUGUUCCUCGUGUUCUGGCCAUGUCUCACUCCAAGCUCAGAGUCUUGAUGGGUAGGAGGACCUCGGGCGCUGGUGUUUCCCCUGCACGGUGCCUUCCUGCCGUGCACACUGAGCUCUGGUAGUGAGCAGUCCAUGCUGGACCGCCCUUUGGAGAAGUGGCAGCUUGGGCUGUGUGGGGACAAUCACCUGUCCUGUCGUUCUCUGGGACUGGCAUUAGCUGGAGGGAGGGGAACCAGAUGACCACAGAGGAAAGCCCACCAUGGCCAGUGUUCACUGUAGAGGCAUGUGAUGAUUAGACUGUUCUAGAACCUGUGGCGACGGCCUCUGGAUCCUAGUGUACAGCAGGAAUGAUUCAUAAGCAACAGUAAUGUUGUAUACUUUUACCCAAAAUAUAUUCUUAUUUUCAGUGAAAAGCAUGAAUGGAGGAGAAUUGGACCAAACCCCAUGCAUUUAUUGUAAAUGAGAUACCAGUUAUAUUUAAAGUGGGAGAUUGAUGUAAGGGGUUUGUAGCAACAUAUUAGUUAGUAGUGCCUUUAGACGUCUCCAUUGGAAUUUCUGCCCUCCUGCAUUAAGGCAGCUGCAGGCUUCCUUGCGACGCGGUACUAGUGAGUGCAUUUCUCAGCUGCAGUCCCGUUGCGCGGUGACUAGUUGAUGUAUUCUGUUUUCCUAGGUGGUGUUGUUGGGCAUUUCUGAAAUGCGACAUUUAUUCUCUUAUCAUAGUUACGUUAAUAAAUGUAACUAGCGUAGGGCACCUCAGUUCAGAGCUGGUUCAGCGCAGCUGGUGAAAUUCGGCCCCACCAGGUGCCCGUUCUGCCUGCCUCUGCCUGGGGGGUGGGUGAGGGAGGGGGUCUCCGCUGUCCCGCCAGGGCAGCCGGAGCACUGCUGCGGGCGGCAGGAUGAUGGGGAGUUGCUGGGUAACCCUGGGCAUGAGCCCCUCUGCUUUGGCUGCUUUCUUUCUUUCUUUCUUUCUUUUUUUUUUUAUUUUUUGACAGGCAGAGUGGACAGUGAGAGAGACAGAGAGAAAGGUCUUCCUUUGCUGUUGGUUCACCCUCCAAUGGCCACUGCUGCAGCCGGCGCACCGUGCUGAUCCGAAGGCAGGAGCCAGGUGCUUCUCCUGGUCUCCCAUGGGGUGCAGGGCCCAAGCACUUGGGCCAUCCUCCACUGCACUCCCGGGCCACAGCAGAGACCUGGCCUGGAAGAGGGGCAACCGGGACAGAAUCCGGUGCCCCAACCGGGACUAGAACCUGGUGUGCCGGCGCCGCAAGGUGGAGGAUUAGCCUAGUGAGCCGCGGCGCUGGCCCAUUGCCUGCUUUCUUAUCCCUGUCAUCCCUUGGUUUUCUCAGCAAGUCAGUUUCUCAGCACCUCUUGGAGUCCUGGCUGUGUGGCACCUCGGUUUCUUAGGCCACAGUGCCCGGUGCCCUGGCUAGUCUUCCUCCUCCCCCUGCCCUCCCAUGUGGUUCCUGAAACAUCUUCCCUGCUGAGAACCGGCUACUCUGAGCUGACCUUGUCUUCUCCCCGCCCCUGCCUGUGGGACCCGUUACUUCACUUUUGCAAAUUGACAUAUAAAAUUGUACCUAGUUACAGGGACCAUGUGGUGUUCAGAUGCAUGUAUAUGUUGUGUGAUGUUCAGAUCGGCACACUGAUCUCCUCAAACAUCUGUUAUUUCUUUGGGGUGAAAAUCUUUAAAACCUUUUUUUCCCUGGUUUUACUGAAACACGCAGUACCUUACCAUGAGAUGCAGUAACCCUGCUCUGCGACAGGAGUCCAAAAUUUACCCCGUCACUUGGUAUCCAUCGGCCAGCUACUCCCCAUGUCCCCGCCCAUUCUCCCCAGUUCUCUCAGUUUCUAGGACAGCGACUCUUUUAGAGUCUCCGUGUGAGAUCACGUGGUCCUUAUAUUUCUGUGCUUGGCUUACUUCACAUACCAUAAGGGUCUCUAGUUCCAUCCAUAUUGUUGGAAAUGACAGAAUUUCAUUUUUUAAAAAAGAUUCAUCUGUUUGAAAGGCGGAGUGACAAGAAGGGAGGGCAGGAUAAAGGGAACGAGGGAGAAAAGGAGGGUGGGAGGGAAGGAGGGAGACAGACAGAACUUCCAUCCACUGGUUCAAUCACCAGAUAGCCACACAGCCAGGUCUGGGCCAGGCCGAAGCCAGAUCUCCCAUGUGGGUAGCAGAGAUCCAAGCACCUGUGCUAUCUGCCAUCUUCCCGGGUACAUUAGCAGGAAGCUGGAUUGGAAGUGGAGUGGCUGGGACUUGAACCAGCAGUAGCUUAACCUGCUGCAUUUCAAUGCCAGCCCCAGGGUUUCAUUUUUUUUUUUUAUGGCUCAAUGGUAUUCCAUUGUGUAUAUGUUCCAUGUUUACUUUGUCUAUGUACCAGUUGAUGGGCACUUGGGUUGUUUCUAUUUUUGGUUAUUGUAAAUAGUACUUCAGUGAACAUGAGAGUGCAGUGUCUUCUUGCCUUUUUAAGAAACUAUUUUCUUAGUUGCUUAAUGUCUAGGUAGGGGGUGAAGGUCUGUUAUCAACAAAGGAAAGCUUAUAAAUAAAUGGUUAAAAAUCAGGCAUGCAGAAGUGGUACACAGCUCUCAAGUGGCUCCCAGGACUAGAACUCGGGGCAGGAGAGGCACCAGCUUUCUUCGGCUGCAUGUCAACAAUCCUUGUUUGCUUACUUGUUUUAGUGUGGAGAGGCCACAGCCACAUCACCCCCACUGAUUGUUUCUGGUGCCUUUUGGGACCCUCAGGCUUUAUGAAUUGUUUGAGUUUUCUGUUUGGAGAGAGGACACAGGGAAAUGCUUCCGUCUUAAGGAGUAUGUAGCAUAAACGAGAGAAAUGGAAUCAUGAAGUUUCUUUGGUUGAGGACAAAGGACUUGAGGCAGUAAGAAGGGGACCAUCGGCAAGAAGAUGAACUUCACGUGGGGUGCAUGCUGGGCCUAGUGGUUACGAUGCCUGCCUCCCACACUGGCAGUCCUGGGUUCGAUUCCCAGUGCCAGUGGGGACUCUCGGCGGCAGUGGUGAUGGCUGCCGCUGCCCACAUGGUAGACCUGAAUUGCAUCCCCAGGUCCCAGCUGGGCCCUGGCCCACCCCUGGGCAUCGUCGGCGUCUGGGGAGCAUAGCAGCACAAGGAGCUGUUUCUCUGUCUCUCUACCUUGCAAAUGAGCAAAUGACACAUUAGAAACUAGAGAAAAUCUUGGAAUGUACAGUAAGUUAAUUCAGUAGGACAUGUGGAUUUUCAUAUACUAUGAUUGUUUAAAAUGGUGGUAAUGAAGAAAUGGCAGUAUCAUUCAAGAUUUUAAACAUGACGUAUUUGCUCCCAGAGUUCUGUAAAUUGCUAAGAGGCAAGUUGAUGGGUUUGGGACUUGGUGUCACUCUGUUUCUGUUUUGUGGGUGCUGCUAGAAGACAGGAGACUCCUCAGUCAGAGACAAAGGACCUUAUUACUCGGUGCAGCAAGCAUCACGUUUGCUUCGGCUUUGCUUGCCCGUGGGCGUGAUGGAAUAGGUGCAGACUGGUGCUGUAUUACGGGUGGGUAGCAGAGGAGAGCACCGAGCUUGGGCCUGUCCACUGCUCCACAGUCAGCAGGACUCCUCUUUGUCCUAGAGGGUGACUUCAUCUCAGCCCUCGAAGUUGCUCGCUGCAGACACAGCCUGGCCGUGGCUGCGGCUGAGCGUGGCCAGGGUCUUGCAUUCCUGUCACACUCAGCAUGUGCAGGACUGCUGAGAGACCCUUAGGAGGGCUUCUCCCAGCACCUUGUAGUAAGAGUUAGAACAUUCUCUUCUGUUUUUCUUAAGUUUGAAACUGUAAAUAAUGCCAUUUAAAGAAAAAAUUAACUCUAGGAACUGUAUUUUUAAUUUUUAAAAGCUUAAAAAAUUUUAUUCUUUUGAGAGAGAGUGCUGCCGUUCACUGUUUCAUUCCCCAAAUACCUGCAAGUAGCUAAGGCCAAAGUCUAAAGCCAGGAACCCAAUCCUGAUCUUCCAUAUGGGUGUCAGGGGCCCAGCUGCGUCAGCCAUCACUGCUGUCUCCCAAGGUGUGCAUUAGCAGGAAGCUGACAUUGGGAACCAGAGCUGUGCACUGAAUAUGGACACUCAGUGUGGAUUAUGGAUCUCAAAGAAUGGUGUGACUGCCAGGCCAAAUGUUUGCUCCAUAACUAUAAGAAAAGCUUAAACCAGAGAUUGUUCUAGUAGGUUCAAGCCAUGUGUUUCCUUAAUUGUACAAAAUAUCACAAAAUUUAUACCAAACUUUAUAAUACCAAAUGUACUUAGAAUACAUAAUCAUGUUAAGCAUUCAUGCUGCCAGUGGUUUUGGGGUGCGUACUAUUUAAUACACCCUGAAGAUACCUAAGCUAAACAACACAUAGCAUUGACUUUUGUGCAGCUAGGCUCAGAGAGGGAAACGGAUCGAAGAUUCAAAGCAUGGGACUGAUGGGACCAAAUUUGUUUUGAAGAAAAUCACUGUAGUGACACUGAGAUUGGAAGGCGCAUGAGGUUGAUGAGAGAGGCCUGGAGACUCCUAUUAAGCUCCUGUAGUAGUUCAGGUUGGAUUGGGUAAGGGACUGAAUGAAGGCUAUGGCAAAGUAAGUGGAGAAAUGAACAGAGGGAGGGGGAGACAGAGAGAAAGGUUUUCCAUCCACUGGUUCACUCCCCAGAUGGCUGCAAGGUCCGGAACUGGGCCAGUCUGAAGCUAGGAGUUCUUCCAGGUGUCCCACAGGUGCAGAGGCUCAGGCACUUGGGCCAUUUUCCACUGCUUUCCCAGGCCAGUAGCAGAGAGCUGGAUCGGAAAAGGAGCAGCUGGGACAAGAACUGGUGCCCAUAUGGGAUGCCGAUGCCACAGGCAGAGGUUUAGCCUACUAUGCCAUAGCGCCAGUCCCAUCAGGAGAGUUUUAAAUGCCAAGAUAGAGAUUUGGAAAGGAUUUAUUCAUUUAACAAGUAUUUAUGGAAUAUUUGUUUCAUGUGAGGUGCUAUGCUAAGCAUGGAGGCCCAAGUGUUGAACAGCGUUUGUUCUCACGUAGUUUAUGUUCUCAAGGGCUACAGACAUUAGACAAGAAAGUUGCAGACUGUUUUACUGAAGUUGUGUGGAGCACUCACGUUGCCCGACUCUAGCAGGUGCUGUUCACAUAGAGUGCAGUGGGCAAGCUGAUGGUCUUGUUCAACACACGUAAGAGUUAGCUGAGAAAAGAGUUGGCAGAGGGAGGGAGGAGUGACUCCAGGCGGAGGAAACAGCAUGUGCCCAGGCUCUGGGGUAAGAAGGAUCUUGGUGUGAUCAGCAGACAGAAAGACUAAUGUUGGUUGGAUCAUUAGGGACCAGAGAAAGAGUGUGUGAAAUGAGGCUAGAACGGUGCGAAGUGCCAGUGACGUUCUCAGGAACAGGCUACGUAGGAGCUUGUAGACAGAGAAACGUUUUGGAAUUUAUUCUAAAAUCUGCAGUGAACUAUUGAAGGGUUUUAAGCAGGGUGAUAGGAGGUUAUAUUUUUAAAGGAUCGUUAUGACUGUUAUGUGGCAAAUGCUUUGGAAUGGGGCAGAAGUGGAAUCUGGGAGGUUAGUGAGGACUCUAGGCUGAUGAUAAUCCCAGCUUGGGCUGGAUGGAGGCCCUUGAGAUGAGUGGAAGUCGAUAGCGUUAUUUGAAAGGAGGAACUAACAGAACCUGGCGAUUGGCAUUUAUCAAGGUAUCAUAUUGUUCUGGGAGUCAUCCGGAGUGAGAAGAGAAAAGGGAAGCUAAAACCCUGCAAUCCAUCACCAUGUCAGGGGGAGGCUGAGUGGAAGGAGAGACCUACGUGGCCACAGGGAAGAAGGGAAUCGGAAACACACCAGCCCAGGGAUGGGCUUUGAGAAAGGGAAGCCCUGCUAAAUUUCUUUGUGCCAAAGAAGAAGUAGAAGAACGAUGAAAUAGAGAGUGCUGUUGGAUGAGGGGGGUAAUUAAGACAUUUGUAAAGAAUAUUUAGGGCAUCAGGAAGUGUCGAUGAUAUAAUGGUAAUUGAAUAAAACGUUGGGUAAAUGUGCACAUUCAGCAUGAUUACAUACUUUCUUUUAAACUACAUAAGUAUGUGGGCAGAAGAAUAUGCAGACAGUGCAACACUAUGUUGAUAGUAGUUUUAUCUAAAUGGCGACAUUCUUGUCCUCUAAGUCUCUUUGUGCAGUUUUCAAAUUACAAGGUAUGCAUUAAUAUUACUUGGAAAAAUUCUAAAAUUUUGCUGAAUUUUAUCCAUUUUUUUUUUUUUUAGGAUUUAUUUAUUUACUUGAAAGGCAGAGCUACAGAGAGGCAGAGGCAGAGAGGACAAUCUUCCAUUCACUGGUUCACUCUCCAAAUGGCCAGUGUGGCCAAAAUUGGGCCCAUCUGAAGCCAGGAACCAGGAGCUUCUUCCUGGUCUCUCACAUGGGUGUAGAAGCCCAAGCACUUGGGCCACCUUCUACUGCUUUCCCAGGCCAUAGCAGAGAGCUGGAUCAUAAGUGGAGCAACCGAGACUCGAACCAGCGCCCGUAUGGGAUGCCAGCACCACAGGCAGCGACUUUACCCGCUAUGCCACAGCGCUGGCCCCUUACCACUGUUUUACAAAGAUAUUUAAAUAGGGUGUGAAGUUGGGGCCAGUGCCAUGGCUCACUUGGUUAAUCCUCCCCCUGUAGCUCCGGCAAUCCCAUAUGGGUGCCGGGUUCUAGUCCCAGUUGCUCCCUUUCCAGUCCAGCUCUCUGCUGUGGCCCGGGAAGGCAGUGGAGGAUGGCCCAAGUACUUGGGCCCUGCACCCCAUGGGAGACCAGGAGGAAGCACCUGGCUCUUGGCUUUGGAUCGGCUCAGCGCCAGCCGUAGUGGCCAUUUGGGGGUGAACCAAUGGAAGGAAGACCUUUCUCUCUGUCUCUCUCUCUCUCACUAACUCUAUCUGUCAAAUAAAUAAAUAAAUAAAAUAUAAAAAAAUAAAUAGGAUGUGAGGUAGUUCCAUGAAGCUGGUAAGGAAAGAGCGAAACAUGUACUGUCAUGAACUCGUUUGCUGUCUCUUGGCUCUACCACCUUCGUCAGUCUUGGCUGAAGGUUGUGGCCUUCACUCUUUUUUUUUUUUUUUUGACAGGCAGAGUGGACAGUGAGAGAGAGAGACAUCGAGAAAGGUCUUCCUUUUUGCCGUUGGUUCACCCUCCAAUGGCCGCCGCAGCCAGCGCACUGCGCUGAUCCGAAGGCAGGAGCCAGGUGCUUUUCCUGGUCUUCCAUGGGGUGCAGGGCCCAAGCACCUGGGCCAUCCUCCACUGCACUCCCUGGCCACAGCAGAGAGCUGGCCUGGAAGAGGGGCAACCGGGACAGAAUCCGGCGCCCCAACCGGGACUAGAACCCGGUGUGCCAGUGCCGCGAGGUGGAGGAUUAGCCUAGUGAGCCACGGCGCCGGCCUGGCCUUCACUCUUAACUCUAGUAACAGACCUACACUGCCGCUGUCUGCCCCGACAGAGGCUACGUGUCGCGUCCGUCCUGUGGCCCGUCUGGCCCAUCCUGUCCCUGCAGCCUCUCCGUUCUCCCGAGAUGGUGACUCUGCUUUGGUUAGGGAAGUCUGUAGUGUUUGCCUUGUUAUCGGGGGCCCUGCCAGGUGGUGUGUUCUGCGGUGACUUUGCCUCUCCUGCACAGUUGUGAGGGGCACUGUGGUUCAAACCUGGCUUGAGUGUGGCGCCCAGAGGUUCCUGUUCUGGACACGUGGUCCCAGUGUGGUGAUGCUGAAAAGGGGGGCCUUGAAGAGGUGGGGCCUGAUGCAGGGGGUGAGGUCGUUUGGAAGAGGUUGAUGCUGACCAGAGUGAGCGGUUACAGACAGGGGAGUCUGUCCCGCGGGUAUCUCCUGUACACAUGUAUUGCCAUUUGCUACCAGCUUUCACUGGAAACCAGGCAGCUGCGGUUGCCCAGUCUUCUUUCAGCCUUUAAAACUUGGGGCUCAGUAAGUAAACCUCCGUUUAUUAAAUGCCCAACCUCGUGUAUUUUGUUGUAGGAACAGCUGGCAUACAUACACUUUAAUGGUGGCUUAGUGUUCAUUUAUCCCCAACUCUGUCCUGUCUGUAAGUAGCCUCUGAAUUAUUCCAUGUGUUUGAUUUUCUUGGUGAUAAAGCUCUAGACUCUCCCGACCUGUUCUCAUCUAUGCACUCUCUGUCCUGGCCUUGUGGGCAGCUGCUGUCCUGAGCUGUGGUCCCUCUGGUUCGAGUCCCAGUUACCUGCUUUGCUUGUGGUCGUGUCUGUAGCUUGUCCAGACACUCUUCCAGCAGCAUCCUGAGUGUUUGGUGGCUUCUUCUGACCUGGAAGAUGGUUUUCAAUUCUGACAGUUUUGUUGAGUUUGUCCCUUGAUUUCCUUUGCCCAGUCUCUGUGUGUAUGUGUUCUGAGUUCUCUGUUAUCUUUUUAAAAAGAUUUAAUUUAUUUGAAAGGCAGAGCAAGAGACAGAGACAGAGAGAGAGAGAGACAGAGAGAGAGAGUCUUCCAUCUGCUGGUUCACUUUCCGCAUUUGCGCAACAGCAAGGCCUGGGCCAUGCUAAAGCCAGGAGCCAGGAGUUCCAUCUGGUUCCCCCGCAUGGGGGUCAUCUUCUGCCACCUUCCCAGGCACAGUAGCAGGAAGCUAGAUCGAGAUUGGUCAGCCAGGACUGGAACCAGUGCUCAACAUGGACUCUCCCGUCUCAGGGAGUUACCCACCGGCAGUGCCACCACUCCAGGCCCCAAGAAUGCCCAUUUUCAUUGAUGUAGAGAUUUGAACUGGCCCUCUAAUUACUUUUGUAUUUUCAGGUGUUUUCCUCAUUGUUGUUUUUGAUUUUCUGUCAUUAGAGAGAUUCUCAGUUUUAUCUUCCAACCCUGUGCAGAUAAAAGCAAUGCUCAACUUUUCAGAAUACCACCUGUUCUUUCAUGGUUGCUCAUGGUCUUCGAUUUCUUUCGGGGUUGGCAGUGAAAUUUACUUUCCCUAUUAACCUGUUUCUUCCGAAUUUCUCUUGUUUUGCUUCCUUCGGCCUCCGGCUCCCCAGUUCAGGCUCUCCUUUAAGGCGUGGUGGGUCUGUUCACCGCCUCGUUCUAGGGCGAGGGGAGAAAUCCUGACCAGCAGUUCCCUGCCUCUGGCUGAAGCUUGAGGACAUACGGAUUUCAGUUUAGGGUAAUCUGGCUCAGCCGUUCGUUGGGGAACCUCUCUGAUGUCUCCUUUGUAGGCGUUUCAUUUCAUGCCGGUCAGGUUCCCUGGAGGAGACUCUGCCGCGUGCCUGGGGAGCGCAAGCCUGUCCUCAGGCCUUUGGAAACCUCACUGGGGAAGAAGCGCUUACCCUUCUUCUUUAUUCUCUUCAUUUUUAGUGUUUCAUCUGUUCUGAGUUUACCUUACCCAGUGAUAAUACCAUGAAAAAAACCUCCUCCGGGGAAUUGACCUGCAGCCUCCCGCGGGGGUGCGGCAGGGCGUUCACCUGAUUGUUUGCAGUGAGCUGGGAGUGAGGGAAGGCAGAGUUUCGGAGCGACAGAGAGAUCUUCCAUCCACUGGCUCUCUCCCUAAAUGGCUGCCAUGGCCAGGGCUGGGCCAGACUGAAGCCUGGAACUCCAUCUGGGUCUCCCACAUGGCCGGCAGAGGCCCAAGCACUUCAGCCGUCUUCUGCUGCUUUCCCAGAUGCAUUAGGAGGGAGCUGGACCAGAAGCGGAGCCGUUGGGACCUGAACCAGCACCCGUAUGGCACGCUAGGGUCAUAGGUGCCAGCUUAACUCACUAUGCCAUAACACCAGUCCCUCUAACAGCUUUUUAAAAUUAUUUUUAAGCCAUACCUCUGUUUAUAAUUGUUCUUUGCCACUUCCCAAAGUCCCUGGUGCUGUCACUUUAGCCUUUGAAGUGUCUUUCGUGUAACCCUAACCCCACUAUUCAUUUUAUAUGCUUGGUAUUCAGAUUUCUUGGGUCUGAAAGUGGUGUCAGCGUCUUACCUUGCAGACGUCUCGUCCUGGUGAGUUUCAGCCUCAGAAGAAAUCCUUUUCCUGUAAUUUGGCGGGAGAGUAUGCCUGCAACUGUACGUCAGUCCUCCAUCUUUAGGGAAAUCAGUAACCCUGUUUUUAAAGACGUGACCUUUUCCCUCUUCUGACAUGUAGUGGCAAAGACACAUUUCUGAGUGGCAGCCCUUUUAUUAGAAGAUUAGGUAGGGGCUGGCACUGUGACGUAACGGGUAAAGCUGUCCCCUGCAGUGCUAGCAUCUCAUAUGGAUGCCGGUUCUAAGUCCCAGCUGCCCCACUUCCAAUCCAGCUCUCUGCUGUGGCCUGGGGAAGCAGUAGAAGAUGGCCCAAGUCUUUGGGCCUCUGCACCCACGUGGGAGACUGGGCAGAAGCUCCUGGCUCCUGGCUCCUGGCUUCGGAUCAGCCCAGCUCUGGCCAUUGUGGCCAUUUGGAGAGUGACCCAGUGGAUGGGAGGCCUCUCUCUCUCUGCCUUUGCUUCUCUGUUCCUCCACCUUUCAAAUCAAUAAAUAAAUCUUUAAAAAGAGAGGAAAGAUCAGGACUAUCUACUUGUUCACAAGAUGUUUCAGCUGACAUCUCAUGACUUACUUCGGUAUCGUUUUUUGUUAUUUUACCUGAAGAUCUAGUGUUUAAUGAUAGCUGCAGUAGUAAUCCAAAGACAUGACUGAGGAUUCAGGAGAGCUCUUUCAGCUGUAGUAAUAGCAGCAGAGGGAAUAAAAGUCAUUUGAGUAGCUCACAGUUUUAUACCAAGCUCUAGACCUUGAAUUCUCUAUCCAUGUGUUAACUCUUUGUAGACAUUAUACCAGCCUUGUGGAAUAGGAACUGGUACUAUUCUCCAUUACAGAUGAAGGAACUCAGGGACAGAAAGACUGUACCUUUGCCACAGUCGACACAGCUAAAGCAGGAGUAGAGGACUAAGAACAGAAAUCUGGGUAGUCCUGCUCCAGUACCCGCCGCCCCCCCCCCCCCCCAGCUGAUGUGCUAACUGAAUUCCAGAGACUGUUGGCAUUCAACAGUUGGUUCAAGCCAGUAGCCUGGAAGUCAGUCUGGGUCUCCAUGUGGGUGGCAGGGGCCCGGUGACUUAGACCUUCAUCUGCUUCCUUCGAGGAUGCAUUCGAAGGAAGCUGGAUCUGGAGCGGAGCACUCUGAUGUGCGGUGCCAGCGUUAGAAGCUGUAGCUUGACUCCCUGUGCCACAAGGCCGGCCCUGGGAUGGUUUCUUUUGGUUGAGAUAAAAAGGUUUUGGGACCAGCACUGUGGUGUAGUGGGAGAGGCAAUGAGCAUCGCUUUGAGUCCUGGCUGCUUUGCUUCUAAUCCAGCUCUCUGCUAAUGGCUGAAGCUCCUGGCUCCUGGCCUUGCCCUGGCUGUUGUGGGCAUUUGGGGAGUAAACCAGCAGAUGGAAAACCUCUCUCUGUGUCUCUCCCUCUCUCUGUAACUCUGCCUUUCAAAUAAGUAAAAUAAAUCUUAAAAAAAAAAGAGAGAGAGAUAAAAAAGGUUUUAACUUUUUCCUAUGAGGUAGGUCAGUGUCAUCUCUCCCUUUAGGCAUUGUCAUAAAUAGCCCACAGACUUGCAAAUACUGCCUUCCUUCUUGGCCACUCACCUGGUAAGGUAUUCUUGGCCCUUGGGAUUCCUGCUGCCUUGCGUGAUGGCCGCUGUGCUGACCCAGCGUUGCCUCAGACUUCAGACUCCCUUCUGCUCCCCUGGGCUGCUUUGGCAGCGUGUGGUCCCUUGCUGGCAGAGUGCGAGCUGUGUGAGUUUCUCUUUUUGAGAUACUAUCAAGUGUUCUUUAUCUUGAAGGGGGCAUUUUCCAUAUUUCGGUGUAUUUGGAACGGAUGGGUCAUUGGUAACGUACUAAAUGGAAUCAGCCGUUGAGUGUUUCACUGUAAAGCCUUUUGUUUCAUUGUUUCAGUGUGAAGAAAGAUGCUUUUAAAGUUAAGCAUCUAAUUACCUUCAACAAGUAACUUUAUAGAAUUAAAAUCACCCUACUCUAGGCUUUUGUGCCCUCCUAAUUGUUUAAUUUAUGCCUGAAAGGGAAGAAUCGGGUUUGUAAUUUUUAUUGUCAUUAAGUGAAUUUUAAGAGCAUAAGAUGUUGUUGUAUUCAAGUGUAGGUACAAAAAAUAUAUUUUCUUGCCUGGUUCUUCAGGAUUCAUUUAUUGUGGUAUAAUUAAGGUGCUAAAAAUAAUUGCCUUUCUUUAAUGAAUCUUAGUGGAGAUGGUUGCUUGGAGGUUCUUGUCUUCAUUCAAGGUAGAAUUCAGGUGUGAGACAGAGAGGAGUGGUCAGUGAGGUAGCGAGGGCUGAUGGGGCAGGGCAUCCAUCAGGAUGGAUGGGCACCUCCCCGGUUGGAAUCCCAGAGGGUGAAGGCGUGCCCCCAGCCAUUCAGACUGGGGGUAGCACCUGACUGGUGGGCGUCUCGGCAAAGACCUGGGAGAGCUGGGAGCCAGCAGCAGCACACCUGAUGGCCAGGCCCGUGUCACAGGAAAGGGCUCAGAGUGCCACCUGUGUUCAGACUGGGGCUGGUAAGCCAGUGGCGUUCAGGUCUUCCUGCCUUCCCCGCUCCCCCCCGUCCAUUUUUGGACAAAGGGUUUUCUAGGUGUGAAGUAAGUAGAACCUUCCACCAAGGUUUUGAGCGGGGUAUUACCACUCUGGGUAGCCCAGAGGAUUCUUCUGUGGUGCCUUCCUUUGGGGGAAGGCUGGGAUCACCUAUAAAGUUAUUGGGGCGUAGUUAGGGCUUUGUAGUGGAAAGUACUGGGCCGCUUCCAAGGUGUGUUUCCCAGGCUGCUGCAUUCAUUUCCAAGUGCUUUGUUUUCCUUAGGCCUCUUUCACACACAGGCCAAUUUCUCUCUAUGUAACAUUAACAAUUGUUAGAAUUUUUAAGGAUUUUUUAAAUUUGAUUUGCAGGUUUUUAUUGUUUCCAUGACCAUAGUAAUGUUUUUUCUUGUUUGAAUGACUUUUGUAGAGUUUAUCCUCCUAAUAUUUUUUUUUCUUCUAAGUUAAUAAAGAGUAAAUUUGUGGUCGGCGCCGCGGCUCAACAGGCUAAUCCUCCGCCUAGCGGCGGUGGCACACCAGGUUCUAGUCCCAGUCGGGGCGCCGGAUUCUGUCCUGGUUGCCCCUCUUCCAGGCCAGCUCUCUGCUAUGGCCAGGGAGUACAGUGGAGGAUGGCCCAAGUGCUUGGGCCCUGUACCCCAUGGGAGACCAGGAGAAGCACCUGGCUCCUGGCUUCCGAUCAGCGUGGUGCGCUGGCUGCAGCGCGCCAGCCGUGGCGGUCAUUGGAGGGUGAACCAACGGCAAAGGAAGACCUUUCUCUCUCUCUCUCUCUCUCACUCUCACUGUCCACUCUGUCUGUCAAAAAAAAAAAAAAAAGUAAAUUUGAAUUUGAUAACACCUUGCAAGAACCAUCUGUAGAUGAACGACUUGUUAGUAUAAAAUUAAAAGCACAAAUAGGCCGGCGCCGUAGCUCAAUAGGCUAAUCCUCCACCUUGCGGCGCCGGCACACCGGGUUCUAGUCCCGGUCGGGGCGCCGGAUUCUGUCCCGGUUGCCCCUCUUCCAGGCCAGCUCUCUGCUAUGGCCAGGGAGUGCAGUGGAGGAUGGCCCAGGUGCUUGGGCCCUGCACCCCAUGGGAGACCAGGAAAAGCACUUGGAUCCUGGCUCCUGCCAUCGGAUCAGCACGGUGCGCCGGCUGCAGCGGCGGCCAUUGGAGGGUGAACAACGGCAAAGGAAGACCUUUCUCUCUCUGUCUCUCUCACUGUCCACUCUGCCUGUCAAAAAUAAAAAAAAAAUAAAAAAAAAAUUAAAAGCACAAAUAAAAGUAUUGGUAAGAAU
Non-coding RNA from Oryctolagus cuniculus (rabbit), 40365 nucleotides. The record is from RefSeq and is a predicted model, not a curated record. Lineage: Eukaryota; Metazoa; Chordata; Mammalia; Lagomorpha; Leporidae.